CCUACGGGAGGCAGCAGUGAGGAAUAUUGGUCAAUGGACGAGAGUCUGAACCAGCCAAGUAGCGUGAAGGAUGACUGCCCUAUGGGUUGUAAACUUCUUUUAUAUGGGAAUAAAAUGUUCCACGUGUGGGAUUUUGUAUGUACCAUAUGAAUAAGGAUCGGCUAACUCCGUGCCAGCAGCCGCGGUAAUACGGAGGAUCCGAGCGUUAUCCGGAUUUAUUGGGUUUAAAGGGAGCGUAGGUGGAUUGUUAAGUCAGUUGUGAAAGUUUGCGGCUCAACCGUAAAAUUGCAGUUGAAACUGGCAGUCUUGAGUACAGUAGAGGUGGGCGGAAUUCGUGGUGUAGCGGUGAAAUGCUUGGAUAUCACGAAGAACUCCGAUUGCGAAGGCAGUUCACUGGACUGCAACUGACACUGAGGCUCGAAAGUGUGGGUAUCAAACAGGAUUAGAUACCCCUGUAGUC
This 460-nucleotide ribosomal RNA is filed under the name uncultured bacterium. RNAcentral describes it as "partial 16S ribosomal RNA". It matches the Rfam family "Bacterial small subunit ribosomal RNA", at positions 338 to 795 of the family's 1533-position model. The record is from RNAcentral.